Molecule: long non-coding RNA, 546 nt
Organism: Canis lupus familiaris (dog)
Lineage: Eukaryota; Metazoa; Chordata; Mammalia; Carnivora; Canidae
Exons: 3
Source: RefSeq, a predicted model, not a curated record
UUUACAAAGGGAAUAUAUUUAUAUAAUCCUUUUCCAGAGCUAUAGUAGGAUACUAACAGUUCCUAAACUGUGGCCUUUGUGCUCCCUCCGUAUCACAGAUCUUCUCCCCAAGGUGACACCACUCCAGCUCUCGUGACCAAAUAGAAGUUUUAGUUUUGUGUAUCUGGAUUCUUGUGCUCAAUAUUAUGUAUGACAAGACUGACCCUCUCCAUGGAGGUACCAGCCUAAGCAUGACUAUUAUUUGGGGACUGCUCUUUGUAAGGGAUCAUUCAAGGAAGGAUUUUUGGUGCAGGAGGUACUUCUUCCCUUACCUGGAAUUGCUAUUAAGCUUCCAAUAGAAGAAUGUAUUUUGAAAGAAGAAAGAGAACAUGUCUGCUAGAGGAUUGAAUGGAUUAUGUAUUCCACAGCUAUGCCACAAGUAAAAGAGAUAUAAAAAUGAAAGUCAAUGAUACACAAAAAGGAAAGACUCUGGUCUUGAAACAAUCAUUAGCUGAAGACUAUUGUCGGGAAGAGGAAUUUCAAAUUCUUGAAAAUACUCAAAAUACA